Phoenix dactylifera (date palm) is the source of this 2875-nucleotide RNA transcript. It is a transcript of the gene named Tetratricopeptide repeat (TPR)-like superfamily protein, with no coding region annotated. NCBI's taxonomy places the organism in Eukaryota, Viridiplantae, Streptophyta, Magnoliopsida, Arecales, Arecaceae. The record is from RefSeq and is a predicted model, not a curated record.
CGCAUAGAAGUUUCUAUGCGCUCGUUCGGAAACUGGCCUUGUCCGAGUGAAGGAAGGCGAGGAGGAACUCGACGAAUAAACCCUAUUCCCCGCUUCCCCUCUCUGCCUCUGUUGCUGCUGUUGAAGUCUCCUAUGCUCUUCUCUUGGGUCUCCAAGUCCAGGCCUCUCCUUUCCCUCUCCAGCCUCGAAAACAAACUGCUUAUCGACCAUGGUUAUCUACUUAAAUGGACAUCUUCUCUAUUUCCAAGUUACGCAUCAUAUAAACAAGAUGAAUUGGGAAGGAAAAGUGUCAGGUCUGAAGGAGUAUCUGGUCGCUUUCAGAAUAUUCUUUCUAAUGGAUAUAUUCCCUGCAAAUAUUUCUAUGCACAAAGUUCUUCGGGCACCUAUGCGCAAUCUAGAUCAUGUUAUACGAAUUCAUUCUCACAAAUUGAGAGCAAUUCACUUCUUAAUGCUGAUCGCGCAGCAUCUGACAAUGAUUCGAUCACUAAAUAUGCUGCCACGAUACAAGAAAUUCUGAAGUCCCAUGAAAGCACAAGUGAGCUAGAGUCAGCCCUCAAUCGGUUUGUGCCUUCACUCGGUGAGGACUUAGUUGUGCAGGUCCUUCGGAGGCAUCGGUCCGAUUGGAAGCUUGCAUUAUCUUUUUUUAAUUGGGCAUCCACCCAACAAGGUUAUGCUUAUGGAUCAAGGGCUUUGAAUGAGAUGCUUGAUAUUCUUGGUAGGAUGAAACAGAUCAAGCUAAUGAGGCAAAUGUUCGAUGAAAUUCCCAAAGAGAGAGGCACGUCCAUCAUCAAUGAGAAAACUUUUUCAAUUCUGCUAAAUAGAUAUGCAGGUGCUCAUAAGGUACAAGAAGCUAUCGAUAUGUUUUAUAAGAGGAAAGAUUAUGGCUUUGAGCUUGACAUGGUUGCUUUCCAGACUCUUUUGAUGUCUCUCUGCAGAUACAAACAUGUUGAAGAGGCUGAAGCUCUCUUUCUUAAGAAGCAAAAUGAGUUCCCUCCUGUUAUAAGGAGCAGAAACAUUAUUCUUAAUGGCUGGUGUGUGUUGGGAAGCUUACGUGAUGCUAAAAGGUUUUGGAAUGACAUAAUCUCUUCCAAGUGCCAACCGGAUGUGGUCACAUAUGGUAUUUUCAUUAAUUCCUUGGCCAAGGCUGGGAAGCUAGGUUCUGCAGUGAAACUGUUCACUUCUAUGCAGGAGAAAGGGUCUCAGCCAGAUGUGACGAUCUGUAAUUGCAUUAUUGAUGCAUUGUGCUUUAAGAAGAGAAUUCCGGAAGCCCUUGAAAUUUUUGGUGAAAUGGGCGAGCCUGGUUGCCUUCCAGAUGUAGCAACCUAUAACUCUCUCAUAAAGCACCUUUGUAAGAUAAGGAGGAUGGAAAAAGUAUAUGAACUUUUGGACGAGAUGGAACAAAAGGGUUGCCUCCCAAAUACCAGAACUUACUCUUAUAUCUUAAAAAUGACUAAGAAACCAGAAGAGGUUACCGAUUUAUUGUAUAGAAUGGAAAGAACUGGUUGCAAAAUUGAUGGUGACACCUACAAUUUGAUAUUAAACCUGUAUGUGCAGUGGAAAUAUCAAAGUGGCAUUCGGUAUUUAUGGGCUGAGAUGGAGAGAAGUGGAUUAGGUCCUGAUCAGCGGUCUUACACCAUUAUGAUUCACGGACUUCACAGACAAGGGAAGUUAGAUGAGGCUCUGCAGUUCUAUAGCAAGAUGAGGUCAAAAGGAAUGAUUCCAGAACCAAGGACAAGGAUACUAAUAAAAGCGAUAUUUUUGAAAAGAGAGAAGGGGAGUGAUACAUCACAUGACUCUUCCAGUACAGUAUAGAAGAGGAAGGGGAAUUCUCAAAUUGAUACUUAACCAAGAUUCAUUCAGCUAGAAAAAUAGAGUCAAAGAUUACGUUGAUUUGAAGCUUACGGUGUCAUGUAUGAAGGUUUAUGCCAUAUCUUAUUACAAAUCUGAUCACAAUUUGCAAGAUCGUUAUCAGUUUGUUGGGAGAUGUUUCUGACAUUUGUCAACAUUAUGAACUUAGCUUCUCUUGGUGCUCGGUAUGUACUGUAUAGAUAUUUUUUGUGGUCUUACAUCGUCUAAUUGCAAAUCUUUUUCCUCGGAAAGAAGUCGGUUGAUUCUCUUUGUCCAAAGCAACUUCAGAUUCAGAGUCCAAAAGCACUCAGAGCUGAAAAUGGUCUUUUCCCUAUAGAAACAAGAUCAAGUCUAUCGCCUAGGAGUAUGGAAGAAGAGUAGGAGCAAUUUGAAACAGAACGAAGGAGAUUACUCUGUAGCAAUCUUUUCUGGAAGAGCAGAUAUCCAGAGUGCAAAUCAUGCAGUGCAAAUGUGAAACAAUGGACACCAGUCUUCCUCAUUUGCUUCUAAUUAGAAUGAUGAGUGAAGAUGCUUCUGGGUGAAAGCCUUGUCAGAAUGAAAUUAAGCAUUUUUUGAUCCAACAGAGUUCGGUAAGUCGUUGAAUUCACUAUCAUUGAGCGUGUGUCUUGAAACUUAAAAGCCUGAAAUGGAUGGAUAGUUUUGUAACAGUUUCUUCCUCACUAGUCACAUGGCUAUUGUCUGAAUCUCUAGCCGUUCAAGUUAUUAAAGGAUUUGUCGAGAAAGAACCUCGGAUGACGUUGUCAAUUAUAUUGCCCCUACAGGUCAACUGAAACUCUGUCCAAUUGAGCUCAUUCUGACUCGAAGGGAGCUUAGUGAAUCAGAGAUGCUUGUUCAAAAGGAAGGAAAAAAAGAGAGAGCAAGCAAUGGUUUGUGUAAUUCAUUUUUUUGGGAUAUUUAAGUGUAAGAUCAAUUUUUGGUUCGGCAUAAUUUAAGAUGUAACAUGGCGCUGGAUCAAUUUAUAUGUACUAUAAUGAUGAUAUUAGCAAUGAGAUUAUUAUUUUUAACA